Molecule: ribosomal RNA, 1293 nt
Filed under: Chryseobacterium sp. 125
Lineage: Bacteria; Pseudomonadati; Bacteroidota; Flavobacteriia; Flavobacteriales; Weeksellaceae
Description: bacterial SSU rRNA
Rfam family: Bacterial small subunit ribosomal RNA
Source: RNAcentral
AGCCGAGCGGUAUUUCUUCUUCGGGAGAGAGAGAGCGGCGUACGGGUGCGUAACACGUGUGCAACCUACCUUUAUCAGGAGGAUAGCCUUUCGAAAGGAAGAUUAAUACUCCAUAAUAUAUUAGAUGGCAUCAUUUAAUAUUGAAAACUCCGGUGGAUAGAGAUGGGCACGCGCAAGAUUAGAUAGUUGGUGAGGUAACGGCUCACCAAGUCAUUGAUCUUUAGGGGUCCUGAGAGGGAGAUCCCCCACACUGGUACUGAGACACGGACCAGACUCCUACGGGAGGCAGCAGUGAGGAAUAUUGGACAAUGGGUGAGAGCCUGAUCCAGCCAUCCCGCGUGAAGGAUGACGGUCCUACGGAUUGUAAACUUCUUUUGUAUAGGGAUAAACCCAGAUACGUGUAUCUGGCUGAAGGUACUAUACGAAUAAGCACCGGCUAACUCCGUGCCAGCAGCCGCGGUAAUACGGAGGGUGCAAGCGUUAUCCGGAUUUAUUGGGUUUAAAGGGUCCGCAGGCGGGCCGAUAAGUCAGUGGUGAAAUCUCAUAGCUUAACUAUGAAACUGCCAUUGAUACUGUCGGUCUUGAGUAAAUUAGAGGUAGCUGGAAUAAGUAGUGUAGCGGUGAAAUGCAUAGAUAUUACUUAGAACACCAAUUGCGAAGGCAGGUUACCAUGAUUUAACUGACGCUGAGGGACGAAAGCGUGGGGAGCGAACAGGAUUAGAUACCCUGGUAGUCCACGCCGUAAACGAUGCUAACUCGUUUUUGGGGCGCAAGCUUCAGAGACCAAGCGAAAGUGAUAAGUUAGCCACCUGGGGAGUACGUUCGCAAGAAUGAAACUCAAAGGAAUUGACGGGGGCCCGCACAAGCGGUGGAUUAUGUGGUUUAAUUCGAUGAUACGCGAGGAACCUUACCAAGACUUAAAUGGGAAAUGACAGGUUUAGAAAUAGAUCCUUCUUCGGACAUUUUUCAAGGUGCUGCAUGGUUGUCGUCAGCUCGUGCCGUGAGGUGUUAGGUUAAGUCCUGCAACGAGCGCAACCCCUGUCACUAGUUGCUAACAUUCAGUUGAGGACUCUAGUGAGACUGCCUACGCAAGUAGAGAGGAAGGUGGGGAUGACGUCAAAUCAUCACGGCCCUUACGUCUUGGGCCACACACGUAAUACAAUGGCCGGUACAGAGGGCAGCUACACAGCGAUGUGAUGCAAAUCUCGAAAGCCGGUCUCAGUUCGGAUUGGAGUCUGCAACUCGACUCUAUGAAGCUGGAAUCGCUAGUAAUCGCGCAUCAGCCAUGGCGCG